UGGGGAAUAUUGGACAAUGGGGGCAACCCUGAUCCAGCCAUGCCGCGUGAGUGAAGAAGGCCUUAGGGUUGUAAAGCUCUUUCAGUCGUGACGAUGAUGACGGUAGCGACAGAAGAAGCCCCGGCUAACUCCGUGCCAGCAGCCGCGGUAAUACGGAGGGGGCAAGCGUUGUUCGGAUUUACUGGGCGUAAAGGGCGCGUAGGCGGGGUAUCCAGUUAGGGGUGAAAGCCCGGGGCUCAACCUCGGAACUGCCCUUGAAACUAGUACGCUAGAAUACUGGAGAGGUGAGUGGAAUUCCGAGUGUAGAGGUGAAAUUCGUAGAUAUUCGGAAGAACACCAGUGGCGAAGGCGACUCACUGGACAGUUAUUGACGCUGAGGUGCGAAAGCGUGGGGAGCAAACAGGAUUAGAUACCCGCGUAGUCC
Molecule: ribosomal RNA, 424 nt
Filed under: uncultured prokaryote
Description: bacterial SSU rRNA
Rfam family: Bacterial small subunit ribosomal RNA
Source: RNAcentral